CGGGACGGGUGAGUAACGCGUGGGUAACCUGCCUUAUACAGGGGGAUAACAGUCAGAAAUGGCUGCUAAUACCGCAUAAGCGCACAGAGCUGCAUGGCUCGGUGUGAAAAACUCCGGUGGUAUAAGAUGGACCCGCGUUGGAUUAGCUUGUUGGUGGGGUAACGGCCCACCAAGGCGACGAUCCAUAGCCGGCCUGAGAGGGUGAACGGCCACAUUGGGACUGAGACACGGCCCAG
RNAcentral lists this ribosomal RNA (236 nucleotides) under uncultured bacterium. RNAcentral's name for it is "partial 16S ribosomal RNA". It matches the Rfam family "Bacterial small subunit ribosomal RNA", at positions 100 to 334 of the family's 1533-position model. The record is from RNAcentral.